AAUAUUGGACAAUGGGCGAAAGCCUGAUCCAGCCAUGCCGCGUGGGUGAAGAAGGUCUUCGGAUUGUAAAGCCCUUUAAGUUGGGAGGAAGGGCAGUAAGUUAAUACCUUGCUGUUUUGACGUUACCGACAGAAUAAUCACCGGCUAACUUCGUCCCAGCCGCCCCGGUAAUACGAAGGGUGCAAGCGUUAAUCGGAAGUACUGGGCGUAAAGCGCGCGUAGGUGGUUCGUUAAGUAGGAUGUGAGAGACCCGGGCUCAACCUGGGAACUGCAUCCAAAACUGGCGGGCUAGAGUGCGGUAGAGGGUGGUGGAAGUUCCUGUGUAGCGGUGAAAUGCGUAGGUAUAGAAAGGAACACAAGUGGCGAAGGCGACCACCUGGACUGAUACUGACACUGGGGUGCGAAAGCGUGGGGAGCAAACAGG
RNAcentral lists this ribosomal RNA (424 nucleotides) under uncultured bacterium. RNAcentral describes it as "partial 16S ribosomal RNA". It matches the Rfam family "Bacterial small subunit ribosomal RNA", at positions 360 to 776 of the family's 1533-position model. The record is from RNAcentral.